AGCAUAUCAAUAAGCGGAGGAAAAGAAACUAACAAGGAUUCCCCUAGUAACUGCGAGUGAAGCGGGAAAAGCUCAAAUUUAAAAUCUGUUGGCUUUUUUGGUCAUCCGAGUUGUAAUCUAGAGAAGUGUUACCCGUGCUGGACCGUGUACAAGUCUCCUGGAAUGGAGCAUCACAGAGGGUGAGAAUCCCGUCUUUGACAUGGACUACCUGUACUUUUGCGGUAUGCUCUCAAAGAGUCGAGUUGUUUGGGAAUGCAGCUCAAAAUGGGUGGUAAAUGCCAUCUAAAGCUAAAUAUUGGCGAGAGACCGAUAGCGAACAAGUACCGUGAGGGAAAGAUGAAAAGAACUUUGGAAAGAGAGUUAAACAGUACGUGAAAUUGCUGAAAGGGAAACGCUUGAAGUCAGUCGCGUUGACUUGGAAUCAACCCUGUUUCUGCUGGGUGUACUUUCUUGUCAAUGGGUCAGCAUCAAUUUUGACCGUUGGAUAAAGUUGCUGGGAAUGUGGCAUCUUUGGAUGUGUUAUAGCCCAGUGAUGCAUACGGCGGUUGGGAUUGAGGAACUCAGCACGCCAACAAGGCUGGGUUUCGACCACGUCCGUGCUUAGGAUGCUGGCAUAAUGGCUUUAAUCGACCCGUCUUGAAACACGGACCAAGGAGUCUAACAUGCCUGCAAGUGUUUGGGUGGAAAACCCAUGCGCGCAAUGAAAGUGAAAGUUGAGAUCCCUUUUGGGGGAGCAUCGACGCCCGGACCAGACCUUUUGUGACGGAUCCGCGGUAGAGCAUGUAUGUUGGGACCCGAAAGAUGGUGAACUAUGCCUGAAUAGGGUGAAGCCAGAGGAAACUCUGGUGGAGGCUCGUAGCGAUUCUGACGUGCAAAUCGAUCGUCAAAUUUGGGUAUAGGGGCGAAAGACUAAUCGA
Molecule: ribosomal RNA, 917 nt
Filed under: Pseudosperma amoris
Lineage: Eukaryota; Fungi; Basidiomycota; Agaricomycetes; Agaricales; Inocybaceae
Description: partial large subunit ribosomal RNA
Rfam family: Eukaryotic large subunit ribosomal RNA
Source: RNAcentral